This is a long non-coding RNA of Myxocyprinus asiaticus (Chinese sucker), 698 nucleotides long. RefSeq lists it as uncharacterized. The record is from RefSeq and is a predicted model, not a curated record. Lineage: Eukaryota; Metazoa; Chordata; Actinopteri; Cypriniformes; Catostomidae. The transcript has 3 exons.
AGCACGUGCUACACCACCCAGCCCCUGGCUGUCUGACACCUUAGACUGACCUCAGGGCAGCUGAGAGGAAAUGGUGGAAAUCUAAAGAUCCAGCAGAUCCAGCAGAUCUAGAACAAGCUGCUGGAUGAAAAUCAGUCAGGCUUCAAAAGUGGACACUCCACAGAGACUGCCCUGCUUUCUGUCACUGAGUCACUGAGACAGGCGAAAGCUGAAUCCAGAUAAUCCAUCCUGAUACUGCUGGACCUUUCUGCAGCCUUUGACACAAUCAACCAUCAGAUCUUACUCUCUACCCUCUCCUCGUUGGGCAUCACAGGAACUGUGCUUGACUGGUUUAAUUCCUAUCUCUCAGCCCAACGACACCACAGUGACUGCUCAAAUCUUUGCCUGCCUGGCAGACAUCUCGGUCUGGAUGAAGGAACACCACCUGCAACUCAACCCAGCCAAGACCGAACUCCUUGUCUUUCCAGCCAACCCUGCUGUUGAACACAACAUCACCGUGCAGCUGGGUGCAACUACAGUAACGCCUUCCAAAACGGUCAGAAAUCUAGGGGUAACCAUCGAUAACCAAAUCAGUUACUCAGACCACAUCUCAAAGACUGCACGAUCAUGUAGAUUUACACUCUACAAUAUCAGGAAGAUAAGACACACUACACUACACGCACACACACACACUACACACACACACACACAAACACACU